This is a long non-coding RNA of Scaptodrosophila lebanonensis, 683 nucleotides long. RefSeq lists it as uncharacterized. The record is from RefSeq and is a predicted model, not a curated record. The transcript is spliced from 2 exons. NCBI's taxonomy places the organism in Eukaryota, Metazoa, Arthropoda, Insecta, Diptera, Drosophilidae.
UAUGUCAAUCGUGCCGAAAACUUUCUUCUGGCUCUACAGCCUUAUUGCUCUUUUUUCCUCAAUUCAGGCAAAACAUUGUCCGGAAAACUUCGCAGCUGUGGGAGAGAAAUGUUAUCAUGUGUUUUUGGAUAAGGUGACUUGGCAUGCGGCCGAUCGGAGAUGUCGCUCACUAGGAUCCAAUCUAUUUGUGCUAAGCGAUCAGAAAGAUAUGGAUUUGUUGACACAGUAUCUUCUGGAUGUUGGAGUGCCGUUUGCUAAUAGUUGGCGAGACACCGUCUGGACAGGCAUUACUGCGUUAGGGACAAACCGAAAUUUCGUAUUGGCAAAGAAUGGAAAGGAAAUACCAUUUACGAAAUGGUGUCCUAGACAACCAGACAAUAGCGCAUCCCCAGAAGACUGCAUCGGCUAUGCUAAGUUCCCCACCUUUGGCUAUCAUGACGUCACAUGCACCUUUCUAUACCCGUUUGUUUGCGAAAUCGAUGCCGUAGAGGAUUAUGUAUGUUUUAAAAAAGAUACUUCACUAUUGCUUAAAACUCUACCAAACUAAACAGAAGUUCAGUUGCAAGCAAUCUUAACAAUAACAAGUAAAAAAGCUAAAGUCGGGUGUCCCGACUUUGAAAUACUCUGUACAUAUGUUUACUAUAAUUAUAGAAAAUAAAAAAAAUUGCAUCUGUGUGAGUGUA